GUCCUAGCUGUAAACGAUGGGCACUGGGCAGGGGGGAUACCUAUGUCCUCUCUGCCGGAGCUAAUGUGUUAAGUGCCCCGCCUGGGGAGUACGCUCGCAAGGGUAAAACUCAAAGAAAUUGACGGGGGCUCACACAAGCGGUGGAGCAUGUGGUUCAAUUCGAAGCAACGCGAAGAACCUUACCUGGCCUUGACAUGCACGGAUUAGUCCCGUGAAAGCGGGAUAACAGCUCUUCGGAGUCGGAACGUGCACAGGUGUUGCAUGGCUGUCGU
This 272-nucleotide ribosomal RNA is filed under the name uncultured bacterium. Its description in RNAcentral is "partial 16S ribosomal RNA". It matches the Rfam family "Bacterial small subunit ribosomal RNA", at positions 793 to 1055 of the family's 1533-position model. The record is from RNAcentral.